RNAcentral lists this small nuclear RNA (101 nucleotides) under Castor canadensis (American beaver). The record is from RNAcentral. Lineage: Eukaryota; Metazoa; Chordata; Mammalia; Rodentia; Castoridae.
GUGGUCACUUAGGCAUCACAUAUACUAAAAUGGGAAUGAUACAGAGAUUAGCAUGGUCCCUGCACAAGAAUGAAACAAUUCGUGAAGCAUUCCAUAUUUAA